AUUGAACGCUGGCGGCAUGCCUUACACAUGCAAGUCGAACGGCAGCACGGGAGCAAUCCUGGUGGCGAGUGGCGAACGGGUGAGUAAUAUAUCGGAACGUGCCCAGUCGUGGGGGAUAACGUAGCGAAAGCUACGCUAAUACCGCAUACGAUCUAUGGAUGAAAGCGGGGGAUCGCAAGACCUCGCGCGAUUGGAGCGGCCGAUAUCAGAUUAGGUAGUUGGUGAGGUAAAGGCUCACCAAGCCGACGAUCUGUAGCUGGUCUGAGAGGACGACCAGCCACACUGGGACUGAGACACGGCCCAGACUCCUACGGGAGGCAGCAGUGGGGAAUUUUGGACAAUGGGCGCAAGCCUGAUCCAGCAAUGCCGCGUGCAGGAUGAAGGCCUCGGUUGUAACG
This 398-nucleotide ribosomal RNA is filed under the name uncultured bacterium. Its description in RNAcentral is "bacterial SSU rRNA". It matches the Rfam family "Bacterial small subunit ribosomal RNA", at positions 30 to 430 of the family's 1533-position model. The record is from RNAcentral.